UACGAAGGUCCCAAGCGUUGUUCGGAAUCACUGGGCGUAAAGGGAGCGUAGGCUGCACGGUAAGUCAGAUGUGAAAUCCCGGGGCUCAACCCCGGAACUGCGUCCGAUACUGCCGUGCUUGAGGAUUGGAGAGGUAGCUGGAAUUCUUGGUGUAGCAGUGAAAUGCGUGGAGAUCAAGAGGAACACUCGUGGCGAAAGCGAGCUACUGGACAAUAUCUGACGCUGAGGCUCGAAGGCCAGGGUAGCGAAAGGG
RNAcentral lists this ribosomal RNA (253 nucleotides) under uncultured bacterium. RNAcentral's name for it is "partial 16S ribosomal RNA". It matches the Rfam family "Bacterial small subunit ribosomal RNA", at positions 524 to 776 of the family's 1533-position model. The record is from RNAcentral.